AAAAUCCUGCUUUGGUCAGCAACUCGGACCACCAUCAGGGGAUAAAUCAAUUUGCAGCAGCUGUGGACAGCCAUUUAAGUCUGGGGCCUGAACAGAUUAAUUAGGAGAAGCGAUGUUAAAAGUUAAAGGGGUCAGCAUUACAUUAAGCACAGGAGUACUUGCUGGAACAAACGCUUGGCUGUACAUACCAAGACUCACAAGACAUUCUUUUAGUUAGCCAGGGCUACGCCAAUAACCAAGCGUUUGGCACUUGCUGCUUUCCCAGAGACAGCCGGCAGCUCCCGCAGGCUGAUUUUAAGAGACAUAUACCCAUUCUUGCCCAGCCCUUGCCGCGCCGUGCUGUGCCCUCGGCGCGUUCAGCGUUGCCCGCACAGGCGGGCGCGCAGUCGUGCAUAGCGCACCUCGGGGCCGCGAAGGCAGGCGAAGGCAGGCGCUUCCCGCCCGGCUCUGGUUGUCAGUGCAAAACUUAAGCAGCUCUUUCGGUCAGACUUGCUGCCGCGGACUCAGCAGAUCGCAGCCCGCUCCUGAGCUAUCUGCGGGGCGGGAGCUGCCGGCUCCCGGGCGUCACGGCCGGGCGGCUGCGAGAGACGGAUCGUCUCCCUGCCGUGAUUUAGGGCAUGGCAGAGGGGAGCGGAGUACAAGAACGACAGCUAGGUCGCUAUAAAUUACUUCUGAAACGGAGUCACGGGUGCUCCUGCUAGGGUGGCAAAUCCUUCCCUGCACUCAACCAAAUUUCUCAACUUUGGCACUAACAAAAGGACUCGAACUCCGCAAAAGUCAAAGGCUUGUCUAAAUGGCCGGGAAUGUGGUUUUCAUCCUUCCAAUCUCCCUUAUCAAUGGUCUGUUGCGAAUUUAUGGAAUCGAACCCUUCAGCACAGCCAGAGGAGAUGACACAGUUACAGUGUAUGGCAGUUUCGGAAAUGCAAUCCCUAGCGUUAUCCUGUCGUUUUAGUAAACAAGCUAUUUGCAAGACCGCGGACCACCUAAAGGAGACAUGCACCGCAUAAAAUAUUUUUCAAAAUAGUCCGAAAAGAUGUUGCCGGUGCUGCACAAACCUAUGAUUGCAGUGAGACAACAAGCGAAACAAAACAAUCCCAUCAGAAAUAUUUCAGCCACUCCAACUCACACUGGCCAGCGCUAGAGCCUGGAGAGAGGGGAGGCAGGAAGGAAAAAGGCAAGUCCUAAAUCCAGACAGAAAUCUGACGCUUUGUUAUAAUAUAUGCCUGGGAGGGUUAUUUUCUGCCAAAACUGGGUUAUUUGGUUUCUGAGCUCUUGAGCAGUAUCUGGGGUGCUAGUUUGUAAGCCGGGGACAGAGCAUGAAAGGCUGCAUGCAGCGCUAACCUGGCCUGGGCACAGCAGCAGCCCCGGUCCGCCUGGGUUAGUUACAGCCACGGGAACCCCUCAUAGCCCGGGGAGCCCUGCGGGAGAGGAGAAAGGCAAAGAAAAGGGGCUCGGGCUCCCCCCGCCCCGGCGCGCCCUGCCCAGCCAGCCCUGCCCGCGCCCGUACUCACACUGCAGAGGACCGGAGAUGCCCACCAUUCGCCACGGGCUGCGAGCUGCAAAUAAAAGUUCCCGUCCUGCUCGGGGGAGAGACGGCAGCCCAGGCUGCUGGAGGGGCGAGGGGGUGGGAAAGGGGAGAGCAGCGCCGCGCGGCUUCCCUUCCCAGUCCAGAUGAUCCACGUCCACAAAAGUCAAAACGAGCUGAGGAGAAACUCCAGCUGCUCUUCCCCCCCCCACCCCCACCACCCUCUCUCGCUCUUUCUUUUUUUUUUUUUUUUUUUUAAAGGAGGAUCAGCUCGAGAGAGACUACUGGUUCCACGGGAAAGGACAAUAACCAAAAAUAAAGCAAAGUCUCCAAGUCGAGAUAGUUAAUGCCCAGGUCCUUCUCCUUGCUGCCGCCGCCGCCGCCGCCUCAGACAAACGUGAUGUGGAGCGCAGGGAGCAGCCGCUGUCAGUGGCGGGGUCUCUGCCUGUCCCCGAGCAGCCGACGCAUAGCUGAGCCCGCGGCGAAGCCGAGCCGAGCCGAGCCGGGGUGCGGUGCCGAGCGGUGCCGAGCGGUGCCGAGCCGAGCCCGCCGCCGGCCGGGGCUGCGCCGCCGCUGCGCUCGCUGCGCCCGGCUCCCGCUAGCAGGCAGCGCGCGAGGCAGGCAGCAUACUGCCGGCAGCCGGGCCGGCCCCGCUACCCAGGUGCAGGGGGGGAGGGCUUAAAGCAGUGGGAGGUGAUAGAGGUAGGAGACAUCUGUGUCGUGAAGAGGUUAGUGGGGGUCAAGUAUAUGUUAACAAUAGGCGAGCGUGGUCCCUCUCGGGCAGCCUGCCUACUCUUUCUUUCUUUCGCUCGCUUUUACUGGGUGGACAUCUAACUUGCUCCCUAAUGAUGCUUCCCCGGCUUUAAGAGUCCAGACUGCCCUGCAGUAACCCAAGACAAACACUUUCUCUAGCCAUCUGGAGAGCUCCUGGCUGCUCUGCCUGUGUCUCAUCACUGUGUGAAGAGACAGCAGUGCUAGAAAUCAAGCCACUCUCAGAUCUACUCUCUAAUCCCCUUCUGUUAGCUGAUUUCCAGUCAGACUGUUUGCUUUUGCAUUAGAUAAUAGCCUUAGAGAAAACAAUUAUCAUUUUCUUUUUGUCUUUGUCUUUUCCUCUUUCUAAAGUACAGUAUCGGGGAAGGCCUCCCUCUCUUAUUUUAAAAGAAAUUUAUAGUCUUUCAUGGCUUGAAGAACCCAUAUGCAAUUUCACACUUUCCUGGAAGGGGAUUCUGGAUUCUUCUGAAAGCAGCGACAUGAUCACAACUGCAGUGAAAAUUAAUUACUAUCAUCUACAAUUAAUAGAAGCAUGCCACCAUUUGACUUCGUGUUUCAUUACAUAAUCAUUUCGGUAGGCAUCCAUAUAUUUUCUGAUUCAUCAGUUAUUCCCUUCUACGUGUUGCAGAGAAUAUUAUUGUCAGUCACACAAUCUACAGCAAACUGGUAUCUCUGCUGUCAUGUUGUCACUAUAUAAAGAAGGCGUCUCCACAAAGAAAAAAAAAAAAACUUCUUACAUUUGCUUCACUGUAAAAAAGUACUUUUUUUUUUCAGAUUGCAGAUAAUGGAUUGGAACUGUCAGAAAUGCUGGAACAUUUAGCUUCAUUUUUUCCAAUGUCAGAUGUUAAGUAAAAGAGUGAGCAUGGAAUAGAACUUCUAAUCAAGCUGCCUUCUUUAUUCCUGUACAUACACGUACACACACGUACGCACACACAUAUACACUAUAGGCCUGAUCUUGCAAAUUUACAAAUACUUAAUUUUAAAUAGACAUAUUGAAUGCAAAGUAGCAUUCUGUGUGUUUAUUAUAAAGGCAUACACGUUUCCAAAAGGGGGGAAACAUUUUUGUCUAUAUUUAUCUGCAUGUUUACAACAGUAUUUGCCUCUGUUGCUGGCUUUGAAAUUUUGUUUGAUUUUGAAAAUAUGUUUAAAAUAUAUUUUAUUAUCUGGAUAAAGCUACCUUUUCUGCAGACAUUUCAGGAUAUGGAACUUUAAUGAACUGGUCAGUAUCUUGUAAUCCAGGGUCGAAUUUGGAGUAAAUUCAGCUUUACACUACAUAAAUCAGAACAUGUUUUGGUCUACUGUGAUUUCAAUUUACAAAGAUGGUGAGCAGCCACAAGUCUGUCAUUGAUUUCUAAUUUAAAACUAUCUGUUUUACAGAGGUCUAUUUCAAAGCCAAAUUAUGGGAGAGUCUUUUAAAAGGUAUCUUCAAAUAUUUAAAAAUAAUCUAAAGAUAGCAAAUUUUAUAAGGCUUCUUUUGUCUUCAGCAGAUUUAGAAAUUUCAGUUUGAAAAUCUUUGUGGCAUGAUACUUUCGUUCCAAUUGUUCUAUGUGUAAGGUGACAAAUAAAGAAGAGGUUUGCCAGUGGUCUCA
This is a non-coding RNA of Taeniopygia guttata (zebra finch), 3885 nucleotides long. The record is from RefSeq and is a predicted model, not a curated record. NCBI's taxonomy places the organism in Eukaryota, Metazoa, Chordata, Aves, Passeriformes, Estrildidae.